UGGGGAAUUUUGGACAAUGGGCGAAAGCCUGAUCCAGCAAUGCCGCGUGAGUGAAGAAGGCCUUCGGGUUGUAAAGCUCUUUUGUCAGGGAAGAAACGGUGGGUUCUAAUACAGCCUGCUAAUGACGGUACCUGAAGAAUAAGCACCGGCUAACUACGUGCCAGCAGCCGCGGUAAUACGUAGGGUGCAAGCGUUAAUCGGAAUUACUGGGCGUAAAGCGUGCGCAGGCGGUUUUGUAAGUCUGUCGUGAAAUCCCCGGGCUCAACCUGGGAAUGGCGAUGGAGACUGCAAGGCUAGAGUUUGGCAGAGGGGGGUAGAAUUCCACGUGUAGCAGUGAAAUGCGUAGAUAUGUGGAGGAACACCGAUGGCGAAGGCAGCCCCCUGGGUCAAGACUGACGCUCAUGCACGAAAGCGUGGGGAGCAAACAGGAUUAGAUACCCAAGUAGUCCCUGAGCGGGCUGGCAAGGCGCAU
This 472-nucleotide ribosomal RNA is filed under the name uncultured bacterium. RNAcentral's name for it is "bacterial SSU rRNA". It matches the Rfam family "Bacterial small subunit ribosomal RNA", at positions 355 to 825 of the family's 1533-position model. The record is from RNAcentral.